UACGGGGGGGGCAAGCGUUGUUCGGAAUUACUGGGCGUAAAGGGCUCGUAGGCGGCCAACUAAGUCAGACGUGAAAUCCCUCGGCUUAACCGGGGAACUGCAUCUGAUACUGGAUGGCUUGAGUUCGGGAGAGGGAUGCGGAAUUCCAGGUGUAGCGGUGAAAUGCGUAGAUAUCUGGAGGAACACCGGUGGCGAAGGCGGCUUCCUGGACCGACACUGACGCUGAGGAGCGAAAGCCAGGGGAGCAAACGGG
RNAcentral lists this ribosomal RNA (253 nucleotides) under uncultured bacterium. RNAcentral's name for it is "partial 16S ribosomal RNA". It matches the Rfam family "Bacterial small subunit ribosomal RNA", at positions 524 to 776 of the family's 1533-position model. The record is from RNAcentral.